RNAcentral lists this small RNA (1027 nucleotides) under Rattus norvegicus (Norway rat). Its description in RNAcentral is "uncharacterized LOC108352441". The record is from RNAcentral. Lineage: Eukaryota; Metazoa; Chordata; Mammalia; Rodentia; Muridae.
CGUGGGGCGGGGUCUCGAGACCACACCCAAGCCCCACUCUUCUGGUCCUUGCUCCAGUUCUCAGAGAAUGUGGCUGGUCCGUGCUAGCUGAGAUGAAGCAGGUUCGCCACUUGCUGCGUUAUCGCCACGGGACAGGGCCUUGCGCUUGCUAGGCAAGCGCUCUACCGCUGAGCUAAAUCCCCAACCCGAGACUGAUCCAUCUCAAGCGGGAGCAAUCUGGUCCUGAAGGGACAGCAGUGGGAGUAAUGGCAGCUGUGGAGUGCUGGACAGCUUGAUACAGGAAGCACCAAAUGCAGAGAGAGAACAGACCAUACAACCCCGCUGGACUAUAAACCCUAAAGCCCACCACUAGGGGCAUACUUCCGCCAACAAGGAUCCACCCUCUGAAGGCUACACAACCUCUCCAAACAGCGCCACCUACUGGGGAACCAUGUGUUCGAGCACAAGAGCCAAGGGGGACAUAUCUUAUUCAAAUCCCAGUACCUUACAAGUUCAGUUCGAAUUUGGCUUUCACUAAUCCACUUUCAGGGCGACUGUACCCCCAUCAGCCCCUAAGGAAAAUAUAAUUAUGAAAAGCUAACGUCAGGAGAACAGGCUUGUGAGGCAACCACAGAAAUACCCAGUUGUGUGGGUAUUAUGCAAGGCAGCAUAAGCUAUGGUGCACGUCAUAGCAAUUUUCGGUCAUUAAAAAGGUGCAUGUAGGUGUGUGUCUUUAUUAUCGUAAAAUGGUGCACAGUUGAGCAGUUGCAAAUUGCUUUGUGUUACGUGACCUCUUUGGGAAACCUCUCUCCCCAUCUUUCCCUCUCCUAUCAGGGGGCCCUACUCCAUUUCUCUCCUCUCCCUUGGCUUCUUUGCAGACCAUCUCUUUUUCUCUCUUGUACCUCUCUUUAGCCAUGAACUUAGAGACGCAGCGCAUGUGUGAACACACAUUGCAUGUGAAUCUGUAGAUCUGGGGGGGACAUUGCCCUGGUUCGAGGCGGUGACGGUGACCUUUGCUGCUUACACAAUUGCAAGUCUAUGCGGUUUG